CGAAAGCCUGACGGAGCGACGCCGCGUGAGGGACGAAGGCCUCUGGGCUGUAAACCUCUUUUCUCAAGGAAGAAGAUAUGACGGUACUUGAGGAAUAAGCCACGGCUAAUUCCGUGCCAGCAGCCGCGGUAAUACGGGAGUGGCAAGCGUUAUCCGGAAUUAUUGGGCGUAAAGCGUCCGCAGGCGGCCUUUCAAGUCUGCUGUUAAAGCGUGGAGCUUAACUCCAUCAUGGCAGUGGAAACUGAUCGGCUUGAGUAUGGUAGGGGCAGAGGGAAUUCCCGGUGUAGCGGUGAAAUGCGUAGAUAUCGGGAAGAACACCAGUGGCGAAGGCGCUCUGCUGGGCCAUUACUGACGCUCAUGGACGAAAGCCAGGGGAGCGAAAG
RNAcentral lists this ribosomal RNA (383 nucleotides) under uncultured cyanobacterium. RNAcentral's name for it is "bacterial SSU rRNA". It matches the Rfam family "Bacterial small subunit ribosomal RNA", at positions 376 to 774 of the family's 1533-position model. Lineage: Bacteria; Bacillati; Cyanobacteriota. The record is from RNAcentral.